AAAUGUUAACAUAGCAUUUUAUGCUAUAAAUAUUUUGUGAUCCCUUAACCACGAGACAAUGAAAGAGUAGAAGACUUGGAAGUUGGAAGUUUGAGACUUUGAAAAGACGUGUGGGAAUGUUUGGUUCAACAACGAGAAGCCGAAACAACAACAAAACCAAAUCCAAACCCAACACAUAAAGCAAACGCACUUUUGAAAUUGAAUUUCUAAAAUUUUCAACUUUUUCAUUCAACAAAUAAGAAGACUAUUUUCAUUAAUUAUUUAGUUUAAUUAUCAAACCAAACCAAAUUCAAAAGAGAUUCAUUAAAAAAAAAGAAAAAAAAGAAAAAACAAAAACAAAACAUGUUGUAUUGUAUAAACUCUUCAUUAUCCAACUUCUGCUUCUGUCUCUCUCCACAACUUUCUCUCUCUAAGGACCCUUCUGCCUCUCUUCUUUGAUUUUUCCAGCUAAAUUUUUAGUCGUCGAAAAACCAUUCGAUGAAAUAAUCUACUGUAAAAUAUUUCGAUUUUUGAAAGAAAAAAACAAAUUCGUUUUUAUUUUGUUUAUGUUUUCUGUAAAUUUUUUAAUUUUUUGAUUUUAAUUGUAUAUUACGAUACUGAUCAAUAAAAGUUGUUUAUCAAAUUGAUAUCUUUUUGAUUUUCGUUUCUGGGUAUUAAACAUAUAAACCCAAAAAAACUCUUUCAAUUUCAAACAAUUGUUUUUUUUUUCUUUUAUAAUUUGCUUUUGCUUUCGUUUGUUGUCUGAAAGCAGUUUCUAUUUUUCUUCAGCAAACCAAAAUCAAACCGGCUCUUGUUUCGAUUGAGAGCUUUUUUUAUCUGGGUUCUUCACAAAACCCAACACGAACCCACUUGAAAGCUGAAAAUUUGAAAUUUUAGAGCUGUUUCUUUACAUAAUGAUAUCGGAUUUUUUUUUUUUGGGAGCUCAAAAAGGUUUUGAUUUUUACAAUAGAAACAGCCUGGGGUUAUGCUUGAACAACAAAUUGGAGACAUAGAACUGAAUUUAGUGUUCAGCUGUUUCUUUACAUAAUGAUAUCGGACUGGGUUCUUCACAAAACCCAACACGAACCCACUUGAAAGCUGAAAAUUUGAAAUUUUAGAGCUGUUUCUUUACAUAAUGAUAUCGGAUUUUUUUUUUUUUGGGAGCUCAAAAAGGUUUUGAUUUUUACAAUAGAAACAGCCUGGGGUUAUGCUUGAACAACAAAUUGGAGACAUAGAACUGAAUUUAGUGUUCUGGGUAUUCGUUAAUUUCAUUGUCCGGUUCUUUUCUGGGAUGAGGAAUAGUACUGAUGGGCCUAAACCGCAAAACGGUGUCGUUUCGCGGUCCACAAAGAGCCCGUUUCGUGCCAUAUCGAGUUAUUUUAGGAUCGUGUCAUCUGGGGCGUCAACGGUGGCCAGGUCGGCCGUUUCUGUGGCGUCUUCUAUUGUGGAGAGAGAUGAUGAGUCAAGCCAUGAUCAGGUACUUUUACUUGUUUAUUUGCGAUUUUGUUUUUGGUUAAUUAAGUCAAAAUUGUGUUUGUGUUUUGAUGUAUUAGAAGUAGAGUAUUUCAAGCUUUGAGUUUGAAUGUGUUUGUUAUGUAGGUGUAAGUGCUUCUAAGGAAAGUGUAGUUCUGGCUGAAAGUAGGUAAACCUUAGUUUUUUGGUUAUGAACAAGUGCCAGCUGUGUAAUUCUUAUUCUGCUUAUAUUGACAUGUCCAAGUUGAUUUUGGCCUUUAAUUUGAAUGCAACUGUCAAGUUUAGAUGAUUUGUGGGUUGUAUAUAUCUUUUUUAAAAAGUUUUGAACCGAUGUAAUUUUGUAUUUAUGAGUGGAUACAUAAAAAAAUUCCAUAUGCCCAUGCAGAGAUUAUUAUUGGAUAUUUAGAUUUUGGGAUGUGGAAUAAGCAGGAGUUCUCUUUCCAGUUUUCCAAGUGGGUAUUCUGACUUUGGGGUGGAUUUCGAUGGACAGUUAUAAUGUGGCAUGCUUAUUUUAAAUUAUCUAUUAGUUGAAUUUGCGGGUGGAUGUUUAUACUUUAGUUUAUUUUUGGUAUAUAGCAAUGUGUGUAUGCGGUAAUCUGUUUUAUUAUUUUGGGCUGAGUGGUUGGUGGUGGCAUUUUGAUGCAAUCUAUCGAGUUGACAAGAGUUUCGGUAUGUUUAUCAUUUUGUCAUCUAAGUUUUAUGAUUGCGGAAUUAGUUCACUUGUGGUACCUGGUAAAACAAUUGUGGCUCGUGGGGUGAUCUUUUACCAAAGGAGUUGAGGAUUUGAGCUUGUUCAUUGACUUUUGCGAUAUGGUAUGAGUUGAAUCUCUGGAAACUUGUUUUUCUGUUUAUUUUGAAAUUUGUUUUGAAAUUUUUUGAAAAGAACGCUGGCUUUUAUUAACUUUUUCUUUUGUGCUCAGUAUGGAUGGCUAUGCUGCUGUCUUUCCUGUUGAUGUUAUUCUUAUGGCACGAUUCUUGCUAAUUUGAGUACUUGAAAUUAUGAUCUGAGAGUUGAAAUGGCUCAUACCAAAUUUCAUUUUUAUGAUAUAAAGGUGCUUUGGGCUGGGUUUGACAAAUUAGAGAGUGAGGCAGGUGCAACACGGCGAGUCCUGCUGCUGGGGUAUCGGUCUGGUUUCCAGGUUUGGGAUGUUGAAGAGGCGGAUAACGUUCAUGACCUGGUCUCCCGAUAUGAUGGUCCUGUCUCAUUUAUGCAAAUGUUACCAAGACCAAUAACAUCAAAAAGAUCGAGAGACAAGUUUGCAGAAGUCAGGCCACUCCUGGUAUUUUGUGCUGAUGGGUCCCGUUCUUGUGGUACUAAAGUUCAGGAUGGGUUAGCUACUGCUUGCAAUGGGACUUCUGCAAACUACCAUGACUUGGGGAAUGGCAGUUCUGUGCCCACGGUUGUUCAUUUUUAUUCCUUGAGAUCUCAGUCUUAUGUGCAUAUGCUAAAGUUCAGGUCUCCCAUUUAUUCUGUAAGAUGCAGCUCUAGAGUUGUUGCCAUAUGUCAGGCAGCUCAGGUAUUUACUUGUGCAUUUGUUUCCAACCACUCGUAUCUUUCCCCUAGUCAGUGUAUGAGAAUUAAUUUUUCACAUACUGCAGGUACACUGCUUUGAUGCUGCAACAUUAGAGAUUGAAUACGCAAUUCUAACAAAUCCUAUAGUUAUGGGACAUCCUAGUGCUGGAGGUAUAGGUAUUGGCUAUGGACCUCUCGCUGUUGGUCCCAGGUGGCUGGCUUAUAGUGGAAGUCCAGUUGUUGUCUCAAAUGACGGGCGUGUAAAUCC
Molecule: long non-coding RNA, 3233 nt
Filed under: Citrus sinensis (sweet orange)
Lineage: Eukaryota; Viridiplantae; Streptophyta; Magnoliopsida; Sapindales; Rutaceae
Description: long non-coding RNA (CSIN_LNC001672)
Source: RNAcentral